GACGAACGCUGGCGGCGUGCUUAACACAUGCAAGUGGAGCGACGAACCAGGCUUCGGCCUGGGGCAAAGCCGCGAACGGGUGAGUAACACGUGGGUAACGUGCCCCGAUGACCGGGACAACCCGAGGAAACUCGGGCUAAUACCGGAUGUGCUGUGCAGCCACCAGGCCGCACAGCAAAGGAAGCUUCGGCCUCCGCAUUGGGAGCGGCCCGCGGCCCAUUAGCUUGUUGGUGAGGUAACGGCUCACCAAGGCCACGAUGGGUAGCUGGUCUGAGAGGACGAUCAGCCACACUGGGACUGAGACACGGCCCAGACUCCUACGGGAGGCAGCAGUGGGGAAUCUUGCGCAAUGCGCGAAAGCGUGACGCAGCAACGCCGCGUGAGGGAAGAAGGCCUUCGGGUUGU
This 405-nucleotide ribosomal RNA is filed under the name uncultured bacterium. RNAcentral's name for it is "bacterial SSU rRNA". It matches the Rfam family "Bacterial small subunit ribosomal RNA", at positions 28 to 426 of the family's 1533-position model. The record is from RNAcentral.